GAUGAACGCUGGCGGCGUGCCUAAUACAUGCAAGUCGAGCGAACGGACGAGAAGCUUGCUCCCCUGAUGUUAGCGGCGGACGGGUGAGUAACACGUGGAUAACCUACCUAUAAGACUGGGAUAACUUCGGGAAACCGGAGCUAAUACCGGAUAAUAUUUUGAACCGCAUGGUUCAAAAGUGAAAGACGGUCUUGCUGUCACUUAUAGAUGGUUCCGCGCUGCAUUAGCUAGUUGGUAAGGUAACGGCUUACCAAGGCAACGAUGCAUAGCCGACCUGAGAGGGUGAUCGGCCACACUGGAACUGAGACACGGUCCAGACUCCUACGGGAGGCAGCAGUAGGGAAUCUUCCGCAAUGGGCGAAAGCCUGACGGAGCAACGCCGCGUGAGUGAUGAAGGUCUUCGGAUCGUAAAACUCUGUUAUUAGGGAAGAACAUAUGUGUAAGUAUCUGUGCACAUCUUGACGGUACCUAAUCAGAAAGCCACGGCUAACUACGUG
This 497-nucleotide ribosomal RNA is filed under the name uncultured bacterium. Its description in RNAcentral is "partial 16S ribosomal RNA". It matches the Rfam family "Bacterial small subunit ribosomal RNA", at positions 28 to 507 of the family's 1533-position model. The record is from RNAcentral.